GCAGGUGUCCCCGCAAUGUGUGAUGGCCUGCCAUGAGGGACGGGGUGUCCAACAAGGGCGACACGGGUGAUGACAGCAACGUGGAAAGCGGAGUCGCUGCGAGCGCCAGCAGACAUGUGAUGGCGGACGCGUCUCUCGGGAGGUGCAGCCGGCGCAAGCCCGCCGCCCCCUGGCGCAGCCGGCCGCCGCAGGCGGGCGCCGACGACGCAGACGUCGACUGGCCGCUCGGAGACACCGCUUCCAGGCUGCAGG
This is a long non-coding RNA of Schistocerca americana (American grasshopper), 252 nucleotides long. RefSeq lists it as uncharacterized. The record is from RefSeq and is a predicted model, not a curated record. Lineage: Eukaryota; Metazoa; Arthropoda; Insecta; Orthoptera; Acrididae. The transcript has 3 exons.